AGACCCCAUGGAGCUUCAAACCCAACUACACCCUUAACUACCACAACCACACAACCUCUUAGGGCCCUGUAUAGUUGGUUUUAGGUUGGGGCGACCACGGAGUACAACCAAACCUCCGCAAUGAACGGGACCACUCCCUUAUCUAAGAGCCACACCUCUAAGAAUUAAAACACUAACAUAAAAUGAUCCAUGAUCUGAUCAAUGAACCAAGUUACCCUGGGGAUAACAGCGCAAUCCAUUUCAAGAGCCCCUAUCGACAAGUGGGUUUACGACCUCGAUGUUGGAUCAGGGUAUCCUAGUGGUGCAGCAGCUACUAAUGGUUCGUUUGUUCAACGAUUAA
RNAcentral lists this ribosomal RNA (340 nucleotides) under Mantidactylus opiparis. RNAcentral's name for it is "partial 16S ribosomal RNA". It matches the Rfam family "Bacterial large subunit ribosomal RNA", at positions 2086 to 2591 of the family's 2925-position model. Lineage: Eukaryota; Metazoa; Chordata; Amphibia; Anura; Mantellidae. The record is from RNAcentral.